GACAGAGGGUGCAAACGUUGCUCGGAUUUACUGGGCGUAAAGCGCAUGUAGGCGGAGAGAUGUGUCGGGUGUGAAAUCCCUGGGCUCAACCUAGGAACUGCAUCCGAAACUGUCUUUCUAGAGUAGUGGAGAGGAAAGCGGAAUUCCGGGUGUAGAGGUGAAAUUCGUAGAUAUCCGGAGGAACACCAGUGGCGAAGGCGGCUUUCUGGACACUAACUGACGCUGAGAUGCGAAAGCGUGGGGAGCAAAC
This 250-nucleotide ribosomal RNA is filed under the name uncultured bacterium. Its description in RNAcentral is "partial 16S ribosomal RNA". It matches the Rfam family "Bacterial small subunit ribosomal RNA", at positions 524 to 773 of the family's 1533-position model. The record is from RNAcentral.